UCUCUUCUACUCGGCCGGCUCAUCCGAGCGGAGUAGCCUGCAGAUAAAGGUGAAACUGAAUAUAUGUUGAUUAUUUCUGUGACCCGAAAGAAAUAUCUAUUUUUGAUUAAAUCCCUUGUAUUUCUUUUCUUCAAGUUUUCUUUUUUUACGCAAAAGUUUCUGUUUAAUUGAGAAAGAAGAGAGGGAGCCCAUUAGCCAGCGCAGCCCAACACCGUCGGGCCUAACUUAACUUUUUUCACGUCCAGGUCGGCCCACCUUACUCCCGUUAACCCUAGCAGCCAGGGAGACCGAUCCCCUCGUCUCCCUCCAGCGCCGCCCCACGCCAGCCUCGACCCUCCCUCAUCUUCCUCCGCACACCGCUGGUGACCGCCGCCACCGGGGAAGCCAAGCAGAUGAGCAUGCCACCAUGGACGCCUCGCCUCUGCCUCGCGCUACCCACCGGAUCUGGUUCUCCAUGUUGAGAUCCGCCCGUUCCGGGCCUCCACUCGCCCCGCUCGCCAACCGCUGGAGCCCCAAAUCCCGCCGGCGCCAUGACCCGCCGCCAGGAGCUCGGGUUCAGGCCACGACGACUGCUUCCUCCCACCGCACAGCACCCCGCGCGCCCAAAUCCCUCUUCCUCUGGUUUUAUGAGACCUUGGGCAUUGUUUUCACCACCGUUCCCUUUUUUGAUCGAUUCGUGUGUGCCUCAUCCGCCUGACCUGUGUUUGCGGAUUAGUUGUUCGCUCUGGUUAGAUUGGAUAUAAAUUCGCGAUGUGGGAUUAUUAUUACCCGAACAAGCACAGGAGGCCCAGCCAGGCGACGCAUAAUUCUUUGCGGAGAAACAAUCGAAUCAUUUUUACUCAAUUACUUUUGUACUGCGGGUUUAUUUCCAUAAAAGUCAAGGGGUUUUCUGAAAAACGCCGUGACGGUGAACCCGGAGACCCAAUCCGUGCUUUAUUAUUAGGGAGAGACUAGCACAAAUGCUCGUGCGUUACAACGGGUACUAUAGAAAAAUGCUUAGAAACCUGAAAAACAAUUGACCACUUAAACAACUUUGCAAGUAGCAAAACAAUAUUUAACAUAAUCACAUGUACCGAGGACCAUAUUCUUGAAACAAAGAGCGAAAAUCUGAUGAUGCUUAAAGAAAGAAAGAAAUUCCCUUAAUUGCGUGAGGUUAGAAGCAAAAUGAUGUACCCCGUGUUCUUGUUUCAGCUGACACCAGAACAUAAAGUAGAAAAUAAAAGGCUUAGUAAUCAAAAGAGAUGUAAAAUGUCCAGCAAAAAGAUAAAAUAGUGAGACCAAGAGUAAUUGGGUACCAGUCACACCUUAAGCUAAAGGUUUGCUAAUGUGAAUAUUUCUAUCUCUACACAACGAUGAUACUCACAUAUACCUGUCACAAGGAGUUAACACCUAAAGAUAAAAAAAUUGUCUUCUGGCUCCAUCUCGGUGAUAUGCAAAGAUACAGGUGAUAGACUUUUCUAGGGGCUUGAUGCUGGUGUAAAGAUUGGCAUUUCUGUUUGACGUGCUUCCUGGUCAAGGUCGCAGCGGGAGAAGGUCGGGCACACACACACUUUCUUGUUUUUGGUGAGAAUGUACAUGCGCUUUUUACAUGAAACUCAAUGAACAUCUAUUGAUUCAGCUUGUAAAAUAUAUGCUUCCACUGGUGAAAAAGUCUGAAAAUGGAUUACAUCACACGCUAGACGUAAAGAAUGAUACAGAACACACAUAUCAACAACGCCGACAGGAAAGUAGGUCUAGGCAUGUGCGCAGAGCUGCUCGAGCUGCUCCUCGAGUGCAGAUCCACUCUCUAGUGAAGUCAUAGAUGUUUCUAAUUAGGCCUUUACUGAAUUAAUGAAGCCUGUUCGGAAUUCCUCUGCAAAUACUACGGCUCCAAUCUUUCAGUAUCGAGUUAAGUAGUUAACAUUAUAGUAGUGAUAAAUCAUAAAAUUCACAGCAAGCUGGAACCUAAGUCGCUUCUAAAACCACAUACCAAGUAGGAUAUCCGGUCCCUUCUGGCCAUUUCAUAGGUUGUUUAAUUUGUGGGCGCUCUGAAUAAAAUAGAAACAGGAAUUUCAGUCAAACAUGCAUUAUAGACAAAAUGCAGUUGCUCCUUUUGAGCAGGUGCUGCAUGAAUGCUUAAUGGCCUAAAAUUGCUCAAAACACAGCCAUGCGCCAGAUGGGCAGGCAUGUGUAGGGCUUUGCUUUGGAUUUUGCUCUCUGGUCCUCUAAGUAUAAAUCGACAAGGUAGUACUGAGGCUGAGAGUCACAAAAUAAUUCACUUCAAAACGAUUUAUAUGUUCAACCAUUGGCCCAGUUGCCAUGAAUUUUCUAGAUAGUAAUAUUGUUCCGCCAAAGCUCCAAUCCAUCACUUUAUCCUCUCUUUUUCCCAAAUGGAAAUGCAAGCAUCCGUGCUCAACUUAACAAUUCAUCAAGAAAAUUAAAAUAAAAAAUGGUACAUACCAUUUGACAUCGCUUCUGAAUAAUUGGAAGACCUUGUCAAAGGACCAGAAAACUUACAUGUGAAGCAUCAUCAACAAGGCGAUGAUGGUUCAUGAAGACUAAUUCUGGUGUUCUUCAGCAUAUACUUCUCUGAAUUCAAACUUUAUGGCGUCAUAAUACUCUUUGCUUUUUUCCUUAUGGUGACAAGGGUUAGAUCUCUUAAGAGGGUGAGGCCAAUCAGUAAACACAGGGAAUGACACUCCCCCACCGCACAAAUACUAUUGCAUCAUUUAGCAAUCAGUAUACACAGGAAGACCAGUAUGCCUUUUGCACCCUUCCAGAAAACUAAAUACAGUACUAUUUAGACCGCACAAAUCUGCAACAGCAAAACAACAACUUUUAGCAUAGGAACACUCUCCUUAGGAAACGGUGGAUACAUGGUACGGACUGCAACAAUUCUCAAGCAGUAAGAAUAGACGAGAAAAAGAAUGAAGAGAGCUUUUCAAAAGAAGAAAAAAAGGACUAACAUUUGUUUUCAUGAACUCUGCAUUCCAAAUAUCUUCUAGGACAUAUGCCCGUGUGUUGCAACGGGGUGACAAAAUUCAGCCUUUAAAUGAAAAUAGUAUUAGUAUAAAAUACUGAAAUUGUUCAACCAUGCCCAUUUAUUUAUUUUCUUCGUUUCAUAGCAUUUAUUCAUGCCAACCGGGAGGCCUUUGCUUAUUUUUUGUUUCACAGACCACAGUCGCUUUUAUUUUUCGUUUAGCAUACAACAAUCGUGCUCAACUGAGAUUAUUUGUUUCGUAGCCCACAAUCUCCUUUAUUUAUGUCAACCGGAAUUUUUCAUUUCAGAGCCCACAAUUUCCUUUAUUUAUACUAAACAGGGUUUUUUGAUUCGCAGCCCACGAUCCCUUUUAUUUAGGCUUCCUGAGAUUUUUCGUUUGGCAGCCAACAAUCCCCAACUCCUUUUAUUUAUUACGCUAACCAGGUGAUACUUUUUGCUAAACACAGCUCACCCUCCGUCAGUUUAUUCUCAGGCUGCUUGUUAAUUCUCAUACUUAUAGGCAUAUAUAAAUUGAUAGAAUUUUUUUUAAAAAAACUUGAUAGAAUUAGCUGUAAGAAGCUAGGUGCGACUAUUUAAUCUGUUAACAAACUUGUUUUAUUAUAAGCAUGAGCAGAUUCUGCCCAACUUGGCCCAAAAACAUCAGGGUCGCAGCGAGG
This 3636-nucleotide long non-coding RNA is filed under the name Triticum aestivum (bread wheat). RNAcentral describes it as "long non-coding RNA (TAES_LNC007071)". The record is from RNAcentral. Lineage: Eukaryota; Viridiplantae; Streptophyta; Magnoliopsida; Poales; Poaceae.